Long non-coding RNA from Magallana angulata, 472 nucleotides. RefSeq lists it as uncharacterized. The transcript is spliced from 3 exons. The record is from RefSeq and is a predicted model, not a curated record. NCBI's taxonomy places the organism in Eukaryota, Metazoa, Mollusca, Bivalvia, Ostreida, Ostreidae.
AAGGUUGUCCCAGUUCGUGGGAAGUUUAUGAAACACACCAGUACUGCUACGUGGGUCGGGGAUUUGAAUGGAUAGAUGCUAAGAUGGCAUGCGUACGAAUGAACGCCUACCUGAUUGAGCUGGAAAAUCCGGGUGAAGCGACCUGGGUUUCUGAAAAUGUAACAAGUGGAGAAGCUCCUGUGAUAUGGAUUGGAUUGGCUGUUUCUGGGUCAGAUGAUACCUUUUACUGGAAUCACUCUCACACUGCACAUGGUUCUAGGGGCUGGGAACCUGGAUACCCUGUAAAUCCUUUGGAGCGAAGAUGUGCAGGGUUUGACACAGGAUCCCGUUCUUUGAAGAACUUUCCUUGUAAUUACACGAUGAGUUUCAUGUGUAAAAAACCUUAUAGCUAAAUAUUUUUUUUUCGAAAAUUGAUUGUUUAUAUCGCAAAAAAAGAAAAUUCAUCACUGUAAUGGAAAUGUUUCUUUCCAAA